UACGGGGGGGGCAAGCGUUGUUCGGAAUUACUGGGCGUAAAGGGCUCGUAGGUGGCCAACUAAGUCAUGCGUGAAAUCCCUCGGCUUAACCGGGGAACUGCGUCUGAUACUGGAUGGCUCGAGUUUGGGAGAGGGAUGCGGAAUUCCAGGUGUAGCGGUGAAAUGCGUAGAUAUCUGGAGGAACACCGGUGGCGAAGGCGGCAUCCUGGACCAACACUGACGCUGAGUGAGCGAAAGCCAGGGGAGCAAACGGG
This 254-nucleotide ribosomal RNA is filed under the name uncultured bacterium. Its description in RNAcentral is "partial 16S ribosomal RNA". It matches the Rfam family "Bacterial small subunit ribosomal RNA", at positions 524 to 776 of the family's 1533-position model. The record is from RNAcentral.